GACGAACGCUGGCGGCGUGCUUAACACAUGCAAGUCGAACGAAGAGCGAUGGAAGCUUGCUUCUAUCAAUCUUAGUGGCGAACGGGUGAGUAACGCGUAAUCAACCUGCCCUUCAGAGGGGGACAACAGUUGGAAACGACUGCUAAUACCGCAUACGAUCUGACCUCGGCAUCGAGGAUAGAUGAAAGGUGGCCUCUAUUUAUAAGCUAUCACUGAAGGAGGGGAUUGCGUCUGAUUAGCUAGUUGGAGGGGUAACGGCCCACCAAGGCGAUGAUCAGUAGCCGGUCUGAGAGGAUGAACGGCCACAUUGGGACUGAGACACGGCCCAGACUCCUACGGGAGGCAGCAGUGGGGAAUCUUCCGCAAUGGACGAAAGUCUGACGGAGCAACGCCGCGUGAGUGAUGACGGCCUUCGGGUUGUAAAGCUCUGUUAAUCGGGACGAAAGGCCUUCUUGCGAAUAUUUAGAAG
Molecule: ribosomal RNA, 469 nt
Filed under: Veillonella dispar
Lineage: Bacteria; Bacillati; Bacillota; Negativicutes; Veillonellales; Veillonellaceae
Description: bacterial SSU rRNA
Rfam family: Bacterial small subunit ribosomal RNA
Source: RNAcentral